GACAACAAGGCCAACAAGGUCAUUCACCCAACCAUAAUCACUGAAGGCAUCAUGAUCACAUUCGUGCCCCACGACCCAAGCUCCCGUCAAGACACACCCCUGGACAGCAAUGUAAGCAGCCCAACCCACGUAAUUCAGAGGGUGUGGAAGAUACUGGUCUAUGUAAUUAGUGGCAACAUAGUAGAGAGCAUAGGCCAUGAGGAGAUCUUGAAUGAGGUAUCGAAAAGAAGUGACAAGUGACUUUUCGAAGCAAUGAGCAGGAAUGGCCUUCUUGAGGUCACCAAUAGUGAAUGGUGGCUUCUCAUGAGGAGCCCUUCUGAGUGCUUCUGCUUCAGUUUUCUUGGCAUUAGAAGGAGCAGACAUGCGCCCACCUGCACCCAUUUUUUCUCUAGUGUAACAAAGAAUAGGCCAAUGCUAUUCUCCUACUCUGUUUGUUUUGCUUUUGCUGUGAAUAUUGCUAACAUUACAAGUUGAAUAUUUAUAGUGAUGCUGUAGAGUUGCAGUGUAGAAUUAAGGAACAGCUGAAAACGCCCGCCAGCACGCCAGCCACUAGAGACUUUUACUAAACUACAAGCUCAAAUUUGUGAGUGUGUUGGAAUCACGAAAUAUAUGAGAUUAAAUAAAUGAAAAUACAAGAAACUGGUGUGCUGCUAUGCUGGUUUUAACUAGUAGUGCACCUUUUGGUUUUUUGUGGCUGACCAAAAUCUUGCUUGUCUAUGUUCAAAUAUUCCGGGUCCUAUUUGGGGGCUUGUAUUGUUACUUUCUUGCAUAUUUUAUUACAAGAUAUUUCAUGAUUUAAAAAUUAUAAGAUAUAAGAUUCAUUUAUAAGUGAAAUUCCAAUAAUGGGGUGGAGUUGCUCACUCAUUUUUACGAUGUUUUACGUGAUUGACAGGUCUUUUAUAUGUUUUUUUUUUGUUGCAAGAAUUUCAAAUAUAAAACUAUUUUGUAGUCCGAAUUUUUUUUAUUAUGUUUUACCUAAUAAAUACGCAUAAUAUGUAGAAUCUCAGAUGUACAAGAUUAUCAUAGACAUAAAAGAACAAUGUGAAAGUAGCAUAAAAAAGAACAAUAAUACAACGAUAGGAGAUAGUCCAAAAAUAAAUCCAAUUAAUGGAACCCUUUGCCCGGAUUUUUAUGCCUGGGUUUCAAUCUUUUUCAAAGUUAAACGAAAAACUGCAAUAAACCAGAAAUCAACUUAUAGUCAGAAUAUGGUAGAAUGUACUUUUUGAAUCUACUUAUCUUAGUUUUAUUAUACUUGUUAAUAACUCAUAAAUCCCUUAUAAUAUAAAAUUUUACAAACAGUUAAUUUAAGCCAAUCUGUUAUCAUAUUAAGUUAUUACAGCUUAUCAAAAAAAAUUUAGUAUUACAAGAUUCAUAAGCUAGAGUUUUGCCCACUAAAGUAAACUUUUACCAAUCAUGGUAUCAUUCAUAUAUCUAGUAAAAACAUUGUAAUUUUCACCAGAUCAGUCCGGGUCUCUGCAUUUUGAACACAGGUUAGAAAACUUUAAAGUACCGAACUUAAACACCAACUCACUGCAAUAGCCAAUACUCAAGCAGAAUCUGAAUUCAAAUUAUUAUUACUAGUCUCCUACUAAAAAAUAUAGACGGAAUACAGAAAGUUCAACUAUAUUUGCAAGUAAAAACUACUAGUGUCUAACCACCCAGGUGACUAACUUCAUCUAUUCACUUCUUAAACAUCCAACUUAUGAUCCAAAAACACGCCGAGCACUUGCUGCAUUUCAGUAUGUCCAAAAACCUUGAAGAACAAAAUAAAGACAAGCAUCAUAAGAUCAAACAUUCAAUAAAAGCAUGAAAAUAUCAUCGAGAAAUUUCUGAGUCUAUUCAUUAUAACACGCAGAGUUGAGGUCUGCAACUCCUUUAUAGUACAACAUUGAAAAAAAUAACUGAAAUUGACAAGGCAACUUUGGUCAAAACAAAUCAAGCUAUAUAUCCUUUCGGUACCAGUAGACUCCUUUAGUCUCGCCUUCAUCUUUCUCCACGUAAAUGCAUUCCUUCAUUUCUCGGUACAUGGCCUUUAGAAUUGGAGUUCCAUCAUAUUGAUAGUAAUCUCCAAGUAAAGGCUUCAUGGCCUCUGUGGCUUCUAGUCCGUGGUAAUGUGGGAUCAUGGAGAAUAUGUGGUGACAGACAUGAGCAUUGCACACGUUGUGGAAUACCUUGUUCAGAAUUCCAUAAUCUCUGUCAACAGUGCAGAGAGCUCCUCUUAACCAGUCCCAUUCAGUUGAGUCGUAGUAAGGAAUCGAAGGAUGAGUGUGAUUGAGGAUUGUAAUUAAUGUAAACCAUCCGUUGACAACUAGCAAUGGACCUCCAUAAACACAGAAAACCCAAACAAAUCCUUUGGCUAAUACUAGAUUGUACAGCCCAUAGAUAACAGCAAGAAUGGCAAGAUCAGACACAAUGAUCUGCUUGCGCUCACGUUCUGUGUAAAGAGGGCUAUGGGGAUCAUAGUGAGAAGUCCACCUCUCAUACUUGUGUCCCGAAACAUUGAACAUCAGAUACAGAGGGAAGCCUAUGAGGAGUGUGGUAACCCACACAAGGACACGGCCGGGUGGGUUGUUGAGAAUUUUGUAGUAGUUCCGGAUGUUGGACUUGAACCUCGGGACAUAAACCUCGUCGUUCUCAAGUGAUUGAGUGUUGGCGUGGUGACGUCUGUGGCUAAUUUUCCAAGAGAAAUAUGGAACCAUGAGAGAAGAGUGGACAAUAAGGCCAACAAGGUCAUUCACCCAACCAUAAUCACUGAAGGCGUCGUGAUCACAUUCGUGACCCACCACCCAAGCUCCCGUCAAGACACACCCCUGGACAGCAAUGUAAGCAGCCCAACCGACGUAAUUCAGAGGAUAUGGAAGAUACUGCUCUAUGUAAUUAGUGGCAAUAUAGUAGAGGGCAUAGGCCAUGAGGAGAUCUUGAAUGAGGUAUCGAAAAGAAGUGACAAGUGACUUUUCAAAGCAAUGAGCAGGAAUGGCUUUCUUAAGGUCACCAAUGGUGAAUGGAGGUUUCUCAUGAGGGGCACGUCGAAGUGCUUCUGUUUGAGUUUUCUUGGCAUUAGGAGCAGACAUGCGUCCACCUGCACCCAUCUUUCCCUGGUGAAGAAUGCAAAUAUUGCUACUCUUCAACCUUGUUGCCUUUGUUAUGUGUUUAGUUGUUUCGUUGUUGUUAUUACCUCAGACCAGCUUGGAUAUUUAUAAGGAUGUCGAAAUUAGAAAUGAGUUAAAGUCCUUAAGGCCCGCCAGCCAGGGGAGGAGUUUGAACUUUGAAUAGAAAGAGUAGGAAAUUAAGUGGCGUGCUCGUGUACAAUUAUUAGUGUCACUACUGAAAUGUGCAGUCAUAAAAUGAGUGCUGCACCAAAAUUUUCUCUUAAAUUCCAGGUCCUGCUUGGCGGCUAUACUAUCUUCAUCAACUUAUUGUUGUCUUGUUAUGCUCUUUUAACAUGCAUAUCUUUUGAUAUCUUCUUUCUCAUAUUAUGCAUUUGCUAAGCUUACUCUAAUACCAAAUAAAGUAGCUGACAUGAUGAAAAAGCAAAUUAACACACCUAAUUUAUGUCUCAUCCGAAAACAGGCUCUUUGGGGGAAUUAUUCUUUAUCUAAUAAAUGAGGUAAAAUGAUUAAUAUUCGAUAAAAUGAGUAGUGAAUGAAAUAUUCCUGUUCCAUCUUUACAAUCAAUCAUCUUCAGUUCCUCAAGUUUACGCUUAAGUGGAAGUUAUUUCUAUUUACUUCCUCCGGAUUUACAGUUAGUCCCAAGAAAAGUGUGGCAGCUGGGCAUUAGUUCUAGCAUGCAGGUUCCAGGUUACGAGAUCAUUUAUCAUCAAAUUGCAGAGGCAUACUUAGCCAAGUUAAAUUAAUGUUGGAAACUGGGAUCAGAACUUUAAUUUAAGCUGCUUGAUGUUCCUUUUUCAGUUCACUCACUACUAGGGAUGGCAACGGGUCGGGUUUCAUGAGAUCUAGACCCGAUCCAUUAUAUUUCGGUUCGGGUCCGGGUCUGAAAAAUGAAGAUCCAGAUCCGAUCCGUCGGAUUUUUUCGGGUUUCGGUUCGGGUUCGGGUCUAAUUCGGAUAUUUAAAAAAAAUUAAAAAUUAUAUAUCUAUAAAAAAUGUGAUGGCUUAUUUUAAAAAAAAAUUAGGAAUAUAAAAAAGGACUUUACAUGUUUCAUUUAGUACAAUAAACACGUGAAACAUGCUAACUUAAUUAUAUACAAUCAUUCAACUUAUCAUUUAUAUUUUAUUAUAUUUAGAUUUUUUAAUGCACAAUAAUUGAGAAAAUUAAAAUAUUGAUGAAAUUAAUAUAUAAAUUAUGUAUUGCGCAUAUAAUAUUAAGUAAGAUGUUAAUACGCAUACAUAAUAAUUCAUAAUAUUUCAUAUAUAUACUUUACAUUUAACAAAUAAUAUAUAUAUAUAUAUAUAUAUAUAUAUAUAUAUAUAUAUAUAUAUAUAUUAUAUUUGUAUGUGGUUUUUAUUAAGAUCCAGAUCCAGAUCCAAACUUUUUCGGGUCUAAAAAUAAGAUCCAAAUCCGGAUCCAGAUCCACAAAAAUCGGGUUCGGAUAGAUCCAAUCGGGUCGGAACGGGUCGGGUAUCCAUCGGGUCGGGUAAAACUGCCAUCCCUACUCACUACUAUUGAAGUGAUAGUUUAUACUCCCUCCGUCUCAAUUUAUAAGUCCAGUUUGGAAAAAAAAAUUGUCCCAAAAUACUUGUCCCUCUCUUCUUUCAAUACAAAUUUAUCUACAUAUUAAUUGUGAUUUUUUUUGAAACUCAACAAUAUUCUCACUUAUCAAUGCACUAAUUAAUGAUACAUGAGAUAAGAUUCUAUCUAACUAACUUUUUUCUUAAUAUGUGUGUUUAUUCCAAAAUCGACUUAUAAAUUGAGACGGAGGGAGUAUUGAACUUCAUUUCAUGACAUUUUAUAACACUGGAAGUUGCUUCAUCACUUGUAUUGUGUACAAAUAAAAACACACAAAGCACUCAUAUUAAUCUGAGCUUAUACUGUGAUUAAUUUUGCAUUCAUCUUACUGAAUACAAUCUUAGUUUCAAUUUGCCAAAAGCCUCGAGGAACACAUCAAAUGGCUCAAUUCAGACCAAGUAUGCUAUGAAGAUUAAGACGACGCUGUCUGUAAAUAUUGUGCAACCAUGUAAACAUUCUGCCAGGACUGUUUCAAAUUGUUGUGUUUGCAAUAUAUGGGUAAAUCUGGGUAACUCAUAACUGUAAUGUCCAAGAUUUAAAUUACGACCUCUCCUAUUGCUACGUACAAUUAAAUAUGAGUUUCUGACUCAUAAACUGAAACAAGCUGCAAAACAGAAUUAUUUCCCAGUUACUUAAGCUUCUUCUUCUUCUACUUUAGUAGCAUAAAAAUCAAAUUGUUUGAUAUUACAAAAAUUCUGAAAAUUCUGUGUAUUGCAUUGAAAAUUUGUUUUCAACUACUUACCUUAUUGUACAACAUCACAUUAAACAAUCUAAAGUUACUAGGAUUCUAGGAAUAAAAGAAGACAAUGCAGAAAUAAGUGAAAGAAUUAAAUCGAGGUAGUCUCUAACACAUUGAGCUAAAUAUCCUUUCUGUACCAGUAGACUCCUUUGGUCUCGCCUUCAUCCUUCUCCACGUAAAUGCAUUCCUUCAUUUCUCUGUACAUGGCCUUAAGUAUUGGAGUUCCAUCAUACUGAUAAUAAUCGCCCAACACUGGCUUCAUGGCCUCUGUUGCUUCAAGUCCGUGGUAAUGUGGGAUCAUGGAGAAUAUGUGGUGACAGACAUGAGCAUUGCACACAUUGUGGAAUACCUUGUUCAAAAUUCCAUAAUCUCUGUCCACAGUGCAGAGAGCUCCCCUCAACCAAUCCCAUUCGGUUGAAUCGUAGUAAGGCACUGAGGGAUGAGUAUGGUUAAGGAUGGUGAUCAAUGUGAACCAUCCAUUGACAACAAGCAAUGGACCUCCAUAGACACAGAAAACCCAGACAAAUCCUUUGGCUAAUACUAGAUUGUACAGCCCAUAGAUAACAGCAAGAAUGGCAAGAUCAGACACAAUGAUCUGCUUGCGCUCACGUUCUGUGUAAAGAGGGCUGUGGGGAUCAUAAUGUGAAGUCCACCUCUCAUACUUGUGUCCAGAAACAUUGAACAUCAAAUAUAGAGGGAAACCUAUGAGAAGUGUGGUAACCCAGACAAGGACACGACCGGGUGGGUUGUUGAGAAUUUUGUAGUAGUUCCUGAUGUUGGACUUGAAUCUGGGAACGUAAACUUCAUCAUUCUCAAGCGACUGAGUGUUGGCGUGGUGACGUCUGUGGCUAAUUUUCCAAGAGAAAUAAGGGACCAUGAGAGAAGAGUGGACAAUAAGGCCAACAAGGUCAUUGAUCCAGCCAUAGUCACUGAAGGCAUCAUGAUCACACUCAUGGCCUACAACCCAAGCCCCGGUGAGGACACAGCCCUGUACAGCAAUGUAAACUGCCCAACCCAAGUAGUUGAUUGGAUGGGGUAAAUACUGGUCUAUGUAAUUUGUGGCAACAUAGUAAAGGGCAUAGGCCAUGAGGAGAUCUUGAAUAAGAUAUCGGAAAGAAGUGAUGAGUGAUUUUUCGAAGCAAUGAGCAGGAAUGGCUUUCUUGAGGUCACCUAUGGUGAAAGGGGGUUUCUCAUGAGGAGCACGUCGAAGUGCUUCUGUUUCAGUUUUUUUGCCUUUAGGAGGAUCCGACAUUCGCCCACCUGCACCCAUUGCCCCUCACAAAAGAAGAUGCAAAUGUUGCUACUCUUCAAGUCACUCUUGGUUUUUGUUGUGUGUUUAGCUGAAGUUGCUCUGUAUUUCCUUAGAACGGGCUCGCUUGUAGAUUUAUAGGAAUGUAUGAUAUCAACAUGUGCGUAGAUAGAAGUGUGGUGAAGCUUAAAGCGCCCGCCAGCCCGCCAGGCAAGGAAAAGUUUGAAUAAACAACUUUGAAUUUGUUAGUGUGUUGGAAUAAAAGAGUAGGAAAUUGCACUAGUUCAGUCGUUUUCAAUGUGUGUUUUAGAGAAGUAUGCCCACAUGAACUGAUUGAGUCGCUAUGUUUUCUCUACGUUUCAAGGUCUCCCUGGGCGGCUGUACUUUCAUAAAUUAUACUCCCUCCGUCCCUCGUGCUAGUUUACGUGCACUGUUUGCACGCAUUUCGAAACUCUUAUAAAGUAUUGUAUUAUAAUUUUUUUUGAAUAAAAGUUUAAACAUCAAACUUUUAUUCAGAGAAAUAAAAAUUAAAAAAUAUAUUAUGAAACUAUACUUUAAAUGAGUGUGGAAAAACGUGCCAAAAAAUAACGUAAAGAAAAUGAGGGGACAGAGCGAGUACUCUUUUAACAUGCAUACUUUUUGUUUUUUUCCCUGAUUUUAUUCGUUUAGUUAUUACAAUAACAGAUACGGUAGCUGACGUUAGCCUAGAAAAUCAUACAUAUCAGAACUGCAAGCAUAUAAUUUGAACUGAUAACGUUUCACUAAUUUAACAUUCAGAACCAGCAGCUUUUUCAUUUUGAUCGAUAGUAGUUUAUGCAUUCGAGUUGAAGAUUGGAAAAUACAAACAAUAGAGAAAUGAUUUUUGAGAGCAACACAAACUUCUGCAUAACAAGUCACUUUCACAAGGAAACUUACAAUGACUCCCCACAAGCUAGACCAAGUGCUUUAAAAAGAGACGAGGCUGAAUUCAAAUCUCAUUUGCAGCUCCUCGUUGUUCACUGGACUGAAGUCGAGUUGUUAACAGUACGUUUUAACUUAUCAGAUACCUAAAUGAUAAGGGGUGAAAUAGAGAUAUACCGUUAAUCAGUAAAAUAUAGCACAGCUAGUUUUUCAAAAGGAACAAUGUUUUGGUUAAGAAACAGAAUCAGAAAAUCCUAUCGUAAAGGCUGAUGCAUUAAUAUGUUGUUAUGUUCAUGCAAAAUAUUACCUUGCUCCUUACAACUAAAAAAAGGAGCUGUCAGACAGACUUCUUGGAUCCAACUGCUGGCGACGAGCUGGCUGUUUAAAACUUCCCUGGCCAUUGAGAGCCACGGACUAGGACCCAUAAUAAAAUCCUUAUUUCCUCUGUUCUUUUCAGUUUAAAAGUUUUUCAUAUCAUAUAGGCAGUUUCGGGCAAUUUAUCAUAGAGGAAGACGCUGCUGUUUACAACGCAUUGAUAAAGAGCGCGGAGCACCCUGUAUGUUUGAGGAGUCUCUGAUUAGGCUUAAAAAGAUUAUUUUUUGUACCAAAGAACUCAUGGUUCAAUGAUAUUUUCCUCGAUCUACUUGCAGGAUAUUGAGGUACCAUUUGAAAGAAAUUAGUUCGUAUGUUAUUCGGCAAUCUCCACAAAGACACAAAAUAUUCAUUUUUACCCUUAAAAUUAAUUUAAACUUGCAUUUUUUUAAUUUGUCUACUAAUUUCAUUCACCAGAACACACUGAUUAGGCAAAAGAUAGCUGAAUCCGGACCAAUUUUUUUUCAUCAAGAUUUAUAUAAAGUUGUCAGUAGCCAAUAAAAAUGAGUGACCUGUGAUCAACUAAAUUAUCUAAAGCUGUCGAGCUGUGAUAUCUUGAUGAUUUCUGGGUCAUCGUAACAUAUCAAAUAAAACGCCUCUCCUCUCUUACGAGUACAAAUCUUGUUUGGUUAUGUUUUUCCCAGACCCAGACUGAGAACUCUGUACUUGAAGAUACCUUUUCUGGUAAAGAAAUGGCAAGUCCCACCGCCCUGAAUCCGUACUCAUCAGCAAAAGGGAACUGAUUCAACAUCGGGUGGUAUGCAGAUAUCAAGACUACUGCAGACAAUUAGCUAGCUUCAUUUACCUGAAUAACCUCAUUCGUUUCAAGUCUUAAACUUGAAACUGAUGACUAAAUAUAUGCCAUUUUUAUAUGAAAUUAUAUUCUUUUGCUCGGCCAUUAAAUUAAACCAAAAGGACAGUCAACAUUAAGAAGGGAGAAUUUAAGCACGACUGCGAAGUGCAUAUAAUCAGAAAGGAAAGUUACUCCUGAUCUUGAACAGAUGAAAGGUUAUAUAUAACUCUUUAUGUAAUUGUAACACAUUUGACCCUAACGAUCUAAAGUUGGCAGGAUCAAUGGAAGGCAAUGCGAAGACAAGUGAAAGAAUAAGAUUCUUGUAAUACCAAGCACUUAAAACUAAAUAUCCUUUUUGUACCAGUAGACUCCUUUGGUCUCGCCUUCAUCUUUCUCCACGUAAAUGCAUUCCUUCAUUUCUCUGUACAUUGCCUUGAGAAUCGGAGUUCCAUCAUACUGAUAAUAUUCACCCAAUACAGGCUUCAUGGCCUCUGUGGCUUCGAGUCCGUGGUAAUGUGGGAUCAUGGAGAAUAUGUGGUGACACACAUGAGCAUUGCACACAUUGUGGAAUACCUUGUUCAAAAUUCCAUAAUCUCUGUCCACAGUGCAGAGAGCUCCCCUCAACCAAUCCCAUUCGGUUGAAUCAUAGUAAGGCACAGAGGGAUGAGUGUGGUUGAGGAUGGUGAUCAAUGUGAACCAUCCGUUGACAACGAGCAACGGACCUCCAUAAACACAGAAAACCCAGACAAAUCCUUUGGCUAAUACUAGAUUGUACAGCCCAUAGAUAACAGCAAGAAUGGCAAGAUCAGACACAAUGAUCUGCUUGCGCUCACGUUCUGUGUAAAGAGGGCUAUGGGGAUCAUAGUGUGAAGUCCACCUCUCAUACUUGUGUCCCGAAACAUUGAACAUCAAGUAUAUUGGGAAGCCUAUGAGGAGUGUGAUAAGCCAGACGAGGACACGGCCUGGUGGAUUGUUGAGAAUUUUGUAGUAGUUCCGGAUGUUGGACUUGAAUCUAGGGACAUACACCUCAUCAUUUUCAAGGGAUUGAGUAUUGGCAUGGUGACGACGGUGACUAAUUUUCCAAGAGAAGUAUGGCACCAAGAGAGAAGAAUGGACAACAAGGCCAACGAGAUCAUUAAUCCAAUUAUAAUUGCUGAAUGCAUCAUGAUCACAUUCAUGACCCACAACCCAGGCCCCUGUUAACACACAGCCUUGAACAGCAAUAUAAGCUGCCCAACCCAAGUAGUUGAUUGGAUAAGGAAGAUAUUGGUCGAUGUAAUUAGUAGCGACAUAGUAGAGGGCAUAGGCCAUCAGAAGAUCCUGAAUGAGAUAUCGAAAAGAAGUGACUAAAGAUUUUUCAAAGCAAUGGGCAGGAAUGGCUUUCUUGAGGUCACCAAUGGUGAAAGGAGGUUUCUCAUGAGGAGCACGUCGAAGUGCCUCUGUUUCAGUUUUUUUGACACUAGAGGGAGCAGACAUACGCCCACCUGCACCCAUUUUUUCUUUCGAAGAAUAUGCAAAUGCUCUUCUUCCUCUCCUUCUGGUGUGUUU
RNAcentral lists this long non-coding RNA (10285 nucleotides) under Daucus carota (carrot). RNAcentral's name for it is "long non-coding RNA (DCAR_LNC005748)". Lineage: Eukaryota; Viridiplantae; Streptophyta; Magnoliopsida; Apiales; Apiaceae. The record is from RNAcentral.